Molecule: ribosomal RNA, 1353 nt
Filed under: uncultured bacterium
Lineage: Bacteria
Description: bacterial SSU rRNA
Rfam family: Bacterial small subunit ribosomal RNA
Source: RNAcentral
GAUGAACGCUGGCGGCGUGGAUAAGGCAUGCAAGUCGAACGGAUCAUUUAUUUCCGGAGAUGAGAUUACAUCAAGUCAAAGGUCGUUUAUGAUUAGUGGCGAACGAGGUAGUAACACGUAGGAAUGUACCCCAGAGUCUGGCAUAAUUCACCGAAAGGUGGACUAAUUCCAGAUGGUCUCGUAAGAGUAAAGUCGCAAGACGCUCUGGGAACAGCCUGCGGGAUAUCAGCUAGUUGGUAAGGUAAUGGCUUACCAAGGCAAUGACGUCUAGGGGAGGUGAGAGCCUGGCCCCCACCGAUGGUACUGAGACACGGACCAUACACCUACGGGUGGCUGCAGUCGAGAAUCUUCCACAAUGGGCGAAAGCCUGAUGGAGCGACGCCGCGUGGUUGAUGAAGACCUUCGGGUCGUAAAGAUCUUUUAUAGGGGAGGAAACCAUGCUUUUGCAUGGCUGACGGUACUCUAUGGAUAAGGGGUUGCUAAACUCGUGCCAGCAGCAGCGGUAAUACGAGUGCCCCGAGCGUUAUCCGAAAUUAUUGGGCGUAAAGGGUGUGUAGGCGGCGAUGUUAGUCUUUUGUUAAAACUCUUGGCUUAACCAAGAAGGUGCGAAAGAAACGGCAUUGCUUAGAGAAUGCGAGAGGUAUGCGGAACUCAUAGUGUAGGGGUGAAAUCCGUUAAUAUUAUGGGGAACACCAAAGGCGAAGGCAGCAUACUGGCGUAUUUCUGACGCUGAAACACGAAAGCGUGGGUAGCGAAUGGGAUUAGAUACCCCAGUAGUCCACGCCCUAAACGAUGAUCACUCGCUAUUCGGAGUAUCGACCCUCUGAGUGGCUUAGCUAACGCGAUAAGUGAUCCGCCUGGGAAGUACGGCCGCAAGGCUAAAACUCAAAGGAAUAGACGGGGACUCGCACAAGCAGUGGAUCAUGUGGUUUAAUUCGACGGUAAACGAAGAACCUCACCAGGGUUAGAAAUCCAAACGACGAUACGCAGAAACGUGUAUCUUCCGCAAGGACGGUUGGACAGGUGAUGCAUGGCUGUCGUCAGUUCGUGGUUUGAAUUGUUCCCUUAAGUGGGGUAACGAACGCAACCCUUGUCGUCUGUUAUACGUGUCAGGCGAGACUGCCAGACUCUGUCUGGAGGAAGCGAGGAUGACGCCAAGUCAGCAUGUCCCUUUGAUACCCUGGGCUACACACAUGAUACAAUGGCAUCUACAAAGAGCAGCGAUACCGAAAGGUGGAGCAAAUCUCAAAAAGGUGCCUCAGUUCGGAUUGAAGUCUGCAACUCGACUCCAUGAAGUUGGAAUUGCUAGUAAUCGCAGGUCAGCUAUACUGCGGUGAAUACGUUCUCGAGUCU